Molecule: non-coding RNA, 306 nt
Organism: Paramuricea clavata
Lineage: Eukaryota; Metazoa; Cnidaria; Anthozoa; Malacalcyonacea; Plexauridae
Source: the annotation of a GenBank genome assembly
GAUUGUCAUCGGCAUAGACAUUCAACUUGGAUGUUUAUGCCGUUGACUGUCGUCGGCAUAACCAUUCAACUUGGAUGGUUAUGCCGUUGAAUGUCUUCGUCAUAACCAUUGGAUAUAUGUUUAUGAUUUUGGCAUAACAAUAAGAUAUUUAUGUCAAAACCAUUGGAUGUUUAUGCCGGGACAACCAUCCAACUUGGAUGGUGAUGCCGUUGACUGCCUUCGGCAUAACCAUUCAACUUUGAUGGUUAUGCCGUUGAAUGUCUCCGGCAUAACCAUUCAACUUGGAUGUUUAUGCCGUUGACUGUC